AAAGGUAGCAUAAUCAUUUGGCUUAUAAUUGAAGUCUAGCAUGAAUGAAUAAAUGGGGAACAUCUGUCUAUAAUAUUUUACUAGAAUUUAAUUAAUAAGUGAAAAUUCUUAUAAAUAAAUAAAAGACGAGAAGACCCUAGAAAUUUUAUUUAUUCUAGUAUAAUACUAUAUCAUUUUGUUGGGGCGACAGAAUAACAGAUAACUUAUUUUAUUUAAUUAGCAUUAUAUAUUAUGUAAAAUUAAAUUACUCUAGGGAUAACAGCAUAAUUUAUAAAAGUUUGUGACCUCGAUGUUGGACUAGGAAAUUUAAUAUUCAAAAGGUAUUAAAAUUUGCUCUGUUCGAGCAUUAACUCCUACAU
RNAcentral lists this ribosomal RNA (359 nucleotides) under Helicopsis striata. RNAcentral's name for it is "partial large subunit ribosomal RNA". Lineage: Eukaryota; Metazoa; Mollusca; Gastropoda; Stylommatophora; Geomitridae. The record is from RNAcentral.